GAUGAACGCUAGCGGGAGGCCUAACACAUGCAAGCCGAGCGGUAUUGUUUCUUCGGAAAUGAGAGAGCGGCGUACGGGUGCGUAACACGUGUGCAACCUGCCUUUAUCUGGGGGAUAGCCUUUCGAAAGGAAGAUUAAUACUCCAUAAUAUAUUGAACGGCAUCGUUUAAUAUUGAAAGCUCCGGCGGAUAGAGAUGGGCACGCGCAAGAUUAGCUAGUUGGUGAGGUAACGGCUCACCAAGGCGAUGAUCUUUAGGGGGCCUGGGAGGGUGAUCCCCCACACUGGUACUGAGACACGGACCAGACUCCUACGGGAGGCAGCAGUGAGGAAUAUUGGUCAAUGGGUGCAAGCCUGAACCAGCCAUCCCGCGUGAAGGACGACUGCCCUAUGGGUUGUAAACUUCUUUUGUAUAGGGAUAAACCUACCCUCGUGAGGGUAGCUGAAGGUACUAUACGAAUAAGCACCGGCUAACUCCGUGCCAGCCGCCGCAGUAC
This 495-nucleotide ribosomal RNA is filed under the name uncultured bacterium. Its description in RNAcentral is "partial 16S ribosomal RNA". It matches the Rfam family "Bacterial small subunit ribosomal RNA", at positions 28 to 523 of the family's 1533-position model. The record is from RNAcentral.